CCCUGCAGCCCAAGACUGGUUGCCCACUGAAGCUAAGCAGGGUUGAGCCUGGUCAGUACCUGGAUGGGAGACCUCCUGGGAAAACUAGGUUGCUGUUGGAA
This 101-nucleotide ribosomal RNA is filed under the name Sinocyclocheilus grahami. The record is from RNAcentral. Lineage: Eukaryota; Metazoa; Chordata; Actinopteri; Cypriniformes; Cyprinidae.